Molecule: ribosomal RNA, 253 nt
Filed under: uncultured prokaryote
Description: partial 16S ribosomal RNA
Rfam family: Bacterial small subunit ribosomal RNA
Source: RNAcentral
ACGUAGGUGGCAAGCGUUGUCCGGAUUUAUUGGGCGUAAAGCGCUCGCAGGCGGUCUUUUAAGUCUGAUGUGAAAGCCCACGGCUUAACCGUGGAGGGUCAUUGGAAACUGGAGGACUUGAGUGCAGAAGAGGAGAGUGGAAUUCCAUGUGUAGCGGUGAAAUGCGUAGAGAUAUGGAGGAACACCAGUGGCGAAGGCGACUCUCUGGUCUGUAACUGACGCUGAGGAGCGAAAGCGUGGGCAGCGAACAGGA